RNAcentral lists this long non-coding RNA (1034 nucleotides) under Felis catus (domestic cat). RNAcentral describes it as "lncRNA (ENSFCAG00000052990.1)". The record is from RNAcentral. Lineage: Eukaryota; Metazoa; Chordata; Mammalia; Carnivora; Felidae.
ACAAAGAUCAGUCCACAUCACCACCAACAGUAUCCAAGACCCAGACUCCAGCACCACCAUCAUCACCAGCACCCCCCUCACCCCCCCCCCCCCCCCCCCCCCCCCCCCCCCCCCCCCCCCCCCCCCCCCCCCCCCCCCCCCCCCCCCCCCCCCCCCCCCCCCCCCCCCCCCCCCCCCCCCCCCCCCCCCCCCCCCCCCCCCCCCCCCCCCCCCCCCCCCCCCCCCCCCCCCCCCCCCCCCCCCCCCCCCCCCCCCCCCCCCCCCCCCCCCCCCCCCCCCCCCCCCCCCCCCCCCCCCCCCCCCCCCCCCCCCCCCCCCCCCCCCCCCCCCCCCCCCCCCCCCCCCCCCCCCCCCCCCCCCCCCCCCCCCCCCCCCCCCCCCCCCCCCCCCCCCCCCCCCCCCCCCCCCCCCCCCCCCCCCCCCCCCCCCCCCCCCCCCCCCCCCCCCCCCCCCCCCCCCCCCCCCCCCCCCCCCCCCCCCCCCCCCCCCCCCCCCCCCCCCCCCCCCCCCCCCCCCCCCCCCCCCCCCCCCCCCCCCCCCCCCCCCCCCCCCCCCCCCCCCCCCCCCCCCCCCCCCCCCCCCCCCCCCCCCCCCCCCCCCCCCCCCCCCCCCCCCCCCCCCCCCCCCCCCCCCCCCCCCCCCCCCCCCCCCCCCCCCCCCCCCCCCCCCCCCCCCCCCCCCCCCCCCCCCCCCCCCCCCCCCCCCCCCCCCCCCCCCCCCCCCCCCCCCCCCCCCCCCCCCCCCCCCCCCCCCCCCCCCCCCCCCCCCCCCCCCCCCCCCCCCCCCCCCCCCCCCCCCCCCCCCCCCCCCCCCCCCCCCCCCCCCCCCCCCCCCCCCCCCCCCCCCCCCCCCCCCCCCCCCCCCCCCCCCCCCCCCCCCCCCCCCCCCCCCCCCCCCCCCCCCCCCCCCCCCCCCCCCCCCCCCCCCCCCCCCCCCCAGGACAAAGCUGACCCACACGUUCCGAGGGGCCCUGAGCAAGUUCCACCAGACUUACCUUGUGGGGAGUUGAAUAGCCCCAACAACUCCACGUACUG